Long non-coding RNA from Solanum dulcamara, 458 nucleotides. RefSeq lists it as uncharacterized. The transcript has 3 exons. NCBI's taxonomy places the organism in Eukaryota, Viridiplantae, Streptophyta, Magnoliopsida, Solanales, Solanaceae. The record is from RefSeq and is a predicted model, not a curated record.
CCUGUUUCCGUCAAUUACCCCUUCGAAACUAAGAGAUAAUACGAGACAGUAAGCUGCGCAGAAUUCACGUAUUGACAACUUUGGCGAGUUUUGGACAAUUUCGGGUAAGGUUUAAAGGAAGACGAGAUGAAUGGGAUAAAAAGUAACCCGUAACAGGGGGGCUGCGUUUCAUGCCCGCAGGUACAUAUGUUCAUUUUGGAAGUCCGCCGGCUUAGGGUUUCCACUCAGCAAUGUUGGGGGCGCUCUACUAUUCCGGAGCCUAACUUUUGAUGCUGGUCAUUUGAUAUGUAUAUAUUUAUUUGUCCAGGGGUACGGCGGGGGCCCUGUCCCGCCAUAUGUUACUGUUACCAUUCUUAGAGGUCUGUAGACAUAUGUGUAUGUGGGUUAUUUGUAAGUUUGUUUCAGUUGUGCUCAUCCAACGUAUUGCAAAUGUUUUCGUGGUAUGGCAGCCUCGUCGG